CCCCCUCCCCCUCCCGCCGCGGGGUGGCGCGCGCCUCGGCCGUUGGGCCCGCGCGCGGGGGGCGGGGCGGGGCUGCGUGGGGAGGGCGCCACCGAGCGUCCCGGCCCCGUUAGCCCCGUCGCCUCCCACCGGAGUUCGGAUCCGCGCCCGGCCCGGCUCUCCGCGCCGCGUCUCCUGGACGGAAAGAGCUCUCAAGACCCAAGCCAGGACUUGAGGGAUAUGUUCACGAGGCACCGGCAUUCCAGGCAGAGGGAUAGAAACAGGAAAGUGCAGGGCAGAUUCUACUGGAACUUCCCAGCCGGCAAACUUAUGU
This 313-nucleotide long non-coding RNA is filed under the name Zalophus californianus (California sea lion). RNAcentral describes it as "lncRNA (ENSZCAG00015007725.1)". The record is from RNAcentral. Lineage: Eukaryota; Metazoa; Chordata; Mammalia; Carnivora; Otariidae.